RNAcentral lists this long non-coding RNA (261 nucleotides) under Gallus gallus (chicken). Lineage: Eukaryota; Metazoa; Chordata; Aves; Galliformes; Phasianidae. The record is from RNAcentral.
GAUUAUCAGCGGGAGAUGUGGAUGCGUGUUUCUGGGUCUGGAGCCUAAGUUUACUUCUAGCUCUUGUCUGAACCAUGAAGAGUGAAGAAACAGCAGAUGUUUUGUAAGAAGUUCCUACCAUUUCUACUGAAUUUUACAAUUUCGAUACCUCUGGAAGAUUCAGGCAAAAAAAAAUGAAAUCAUGGACAAAAUUGAAGGUAAAGUUAUAAUUUCCUGUUUAUUUUAAGAUAAUGACAUGGUGGUGACUGAACUGUUUUCUUA